GACGAACGCUGGCGGCGCGCCUAACACAUGCAAGUCGAACGAGCGAGAGAGAGCUUGCUUUCUCGAGCGAGUGGCGAACGGGUGAGUAACGCGUGAGGAACCUGCCUCAAAAGAGGGGGACGAACAGUUGGAAACGAACUGCUAAUACCGCAUAAGCCCACCAGGUCGGCAUCGACCAGAGGGAAAAGGAAGGCAAUCCGCUUUGAGAUGGCCUCGCGUCCGAUUAGCUAGUUGGUGGGGUAACGGCCUACCCAAGGCAACGAUCAGUAGCCGAACUGAGAGGUUGAACGGCCACAUUGGGGACUGAGAUACGGCCCCAG
This 320-nucleotide ribosomal RNA is filed under the name uncultured bacterium. Its description in RNAcentral is "bacterial SSU rRNA". It matches the Rfam family "Bacterial small subunit ribosomal RNA", at positions 28 to 335 of the family's 1533-position model. The record is from RNAcentral.